GGAAGAGCCAGGAUGGCCAACAACAGUCUGCUUUCAUUAAGAACAGUAGAGCACCCAAACAGAGUCGGCUCUGGUGGGUCACAUUGUGUUGGGAGAAGGUUCAAAGACAUGUUAUUGAUAACAAUAAAAAGUUGUCUCUGUGCAGUGUUGAUAAAUGGAGGUAAAAGUCCUAGAGCCAGAGCAGAUCUUCAUGCAUCGUCACUUCAUAAACUCCAUCAACACCCAUCAAUAUCAGCAUGACCAGCGUGGUGGAAAACAACGCUACAAUAUCUUCCAGAGAUGAACACUGUACACACACGCAGUGAGCCCCAAAGCCUCAGAUGUUCUCCCAAGGACCCAAAUUCAAUCAGGAAUGAGCUUUCUUCCCAGCCAUUCCCAGGCGUUCUAUAGUUGCUAUGGUGCCAAGCGGCAGCCUAGGCAGAGAAAUCAACGACCCAAGAGGAAGCUAUGUAAGUAGAGUUGGCAGUGUGCCAGGGGUUUCAUUGCUCAGGAGGAUACUUCUGAAGUAAGGACUGAGUGAGCUGUACUCUUUGGGGAGCAAACUUCACCACAGAGUCUCAAUAUAGGGAAGACAGCAGAGAGGCUUGGAUGACAUGGAGCUGCCUGCCUGCCUGCCUGCCUGCCUGCCUGCCUGCCUGCCUGCCUGCCUGCCUGCCUGCCUGCCUGCCUGCCUGCCUGCCUGCCUGCCUGCCACCACCUCCGACCACCAUCUCUGCUGACCAUCUACCUAUGAGCUUCCAGAUCCUCUCAUGACCGUGGCUGCCCAUCUGGAAGCUUCAAGAAGUACUCAGACAGACUUGAUCUAGCUGAUCUAGCUACUGUUGUAGCCUGUAUUUUCCUCAACAUUUAAACAUUUCGAUUUUAUGGGAACGUCUUAAUAAUCUAAAUGUGUUUCUUGUAUGUGUUACUGCAAUUCAGCUUUAAGCUGCCAUAGUACACAUGAAAUUAAAUUCAAAUAUACCAUUAUCAUCAUCAUUCCUUGCUUGGAAAACAUAUGUUGUUUUAAUAACAAUAAAAUCUUACUUCUGAUCUUUAUGUAAUUAUCCAGAUAAGUUCACAAAUGUACUAUGGCCAAGAUUCAAAUAAAGGUGUGUUGUGGAUGCACUGUCUACAAUUGGUCCCAGGCCUCCCACAGUGAAAAACCUGAAAUUCACUACUUUCAUGCAAUUCAGCUUUAAGCUGCCAUAGUACACAUGAAAGGAAAUGAAAAUAUACCAUUAUCAUCAUCAUUUCUGAGUCAAAUUGCAACCCAAAAUCUACUGCUCAGAUUUAAAAAAAAAUACAUUACUUAAAAAAUGUAAGCCUGUGCGAAAUUAACUUUUCAAAACAGUACUGUAGUAAUGAGGAUUGUGCAGUAGGCUCAAAACAUUAUCACCACAUAUUGUCUUUGCUUGAAUUGACCUACCAAUGCCUUCUUGUUCUUCUCACACCAUUUCCAAAUGAUAUUUAAAAACCUGAGAUAGGACCUACACUAUAUGAUCACACUAGUCAUAGAUUGUUGUAUUACAUGUGAGGCACA
RNAcentral lists this long non-coding RNA (1519 nucleotides) under Salmo salar (Atlantic salmon). RNAcentral describes it as "lncRNA (ENSSSAG00000122005.1)". The record is from RNAcentral. Lineage: Eukaryota; Metazoa; Chordata; Actinopteri; Salmoniformes; Salmonidae.